Molecule: ribosomal RNA, 484 nt
Filed under: uncultured bacterium
Lineage: Bacteria
Description: partial 16S ribosomal RNA
Rfam family: Bacterial small subunit ribosomal RNA
Source: RNAcentral
AUUGAACGCUGGCGGCAGGCCUAACACAUGCAAGUCGAGCGGAUGAAGGGAGCUUGCUCCUGGAUUCAGCGGCGGACGGGUGAGUAAUGCCUAGGAAUCUGCCUGGUAGUGGGGGAUAACGUCCGGAAACGGGCGCUAAUACCGCAUACGUCCUGAGGGAGAAAGUGGGGGAUCUUCGGACCUCACGCUAUCAGAUGAGCCUAGGUCGGAUUAGCUAGUUGGUGGGGUAAAGGCCUACCAAGGCGACGAUCCGUAACUGGUCUGAGAGGAUGAUCAGUCACACUGGAACUGAGACACGGUCCAGACUCCUACGGGAGGCAGCAGUGGGGAAUAUUGGACAACGGGCGAAAGCCUGAUCCAGCCAUGCCGCGUGUGUGAAGAAGGUCUUCGGAUUGUAAAGCACUUUAAGUUGGGAGGAAGGGCAGUAAGUUAAUUCCUUGCUGUUUUGACGUUACCAACAGAAUAAGCACCGGCUAACUUCGUG